CCUACGGGAGACAGCAGUGAGGAAUAUUGGUCAAUGGGCGAGAGCCUGAACCAGCCAAGUAGCGUGAAGGAUGACUGCCCUAUGGGUUGUAAACUUCUUUUAUAAAGGAAUAAAACGAGGCACGUGUGCCUUUUUGCAUGUACUUUAUGAAUAAGGAUCGGCUAACUCCGUGCCAGCAGCCGCGGUAAUACGGAGGAUCCGAGCGUUAUCCGGAUUUAUUGGGUUUAAAGGGAGCGUAGAUGGGUUGUUAAGUCAGUUGUGAAAGUUUGCGGCUCAACCGUAAAAUUGCAAUUGAUACUGGCAGACUUGAGUACAGUUGAGGUAGGCGGAAUUCGUGGUGUAGCGGUGAAAUGCUUAGAUAUCACGAAGAACUCCGAUUGCGAAGGCAGCUUACUAAACUGUCACUGACAUUGAUGCUCGAAAGUGUGGGUAUCAAACAGGAUUAGAUACCCGAGUAGUC
This 460-nucleotide ribosomal RNA is filed under the name uncultured bacterium. Its description in RNAcentral is "partial 16S ribosomal RNA". It matches the Rfam family "Bacterial small subunit ribosomal RNA", at positions 338 to 795 of the family's 1533-position model. The record is from RNAcentral.